UGGGGAAUAUUGGACAAUGGGCGCAAGCCUGAUCCAGCAAUGCCGCGUGAGUGAUGAAGGCCUUAGGGUUGUAAAGCUCUUUUACCCGGGAUGAUAAUGACAGUACCGGGAGAAUAAGCUCCGGCUAACUCCGUGCCAGCAGCCGCGGUAAUACGGAGGGAGCUAGCGUUGUUCGGAAUUACUGGGCGUAAAGCGCGCGUAGGCGGUUACUCAAGUCAGAGGUGAAAGCCCGGGGCUCAACCCCGGAACUGCCUUUGAAACUAGGUGACUAGAAUCUUGGAGAGGUCAGUGGAAUUCCGAGUGUAGAGGUGAAAUUCGUAGAUAUUCGGAAGAACACCAGUGGCGAAGGCGACUGACUGGACAAGUAUUGACGCUGAGGUGCGAAAGCGUGGGGAGCAAACA
This 402-nucleotide ribosomal RNA is filed under the name uncultured bacterium. RNAcentral describes it as "bacterial SSU rRNA". It matches the Rfam family "Bacterial small subunit ribosomal RNA", at positions 355 to 774 of the family's 1533-position model. The record is from RNAcentral.